This 500-nucleotide ribosomal RNA is filed under the name uncultured bacterium. Its description in RNAcentral is "bacterial SSU rRNA". It matches the Rfam family "Bacterial small subunit ribosomal RNA", at positions 40 to 526 of the family's 1533-position model. The record is from RNAcentral.
CCGCCGCCGUAACACAUGCAAGUCGAGCGAGAACCGGGGCUUCGUCCCCGGGGACAGCGGCGAACGGGUGAGUAACACGUGGAUAACCUGCCCUCGGCACCGGAAUAGCCCGGGGAAACCCGGAUUAAUGCCGGAUGGCCCCACAUCCCUGCGGGGAACGUGGGAAAAGGUAGCUUCGGCCUCUGGCCGAGGAUGGGUCCGCGGUGGAUUAGCUAGUUGGUGGGGUAAUGGCUCACCAAGGCGACGAUCCAUAGCUGGUCUGAGAGGACGAUCAGCCACACUGGGACUGAGACACGGCCCAGACUCCUACGGGAGGCAGCAGUGGGGAAUCUUGCGCAAUGGGCGAAAGCCUGACGCAGCGACGCCGCGUGCGGGAAGAAGGCCUUAGGGUUGUAAACCGCUUUCAGGAGGGACGAAGCCACUCGGGUGAACAGCCCAGAGGGUGACGGUACCUCCAGAAGAAGCCCCGGCUAACUACGUGCCAGCAGCCGCAGUAAUAC